GAUGAACGCUGGCGGCGUGCCUAAUACAUGCAAGUCGAGCGAACAGACGAGGAGCUUGCUCCUCUGACGUUAGCGGCGGACGGGUGAGUAACACGUGGAUAACCUACCUAUAAGACUGGGAUAACUUCGGGAAACCGGAGCUAAUACCGGAUAAUAUAUUGAACAGCAUGGUUCAAUAGUGAAAGACGGUUUUGCUGUCAAUUAUAGAUGGAUCCGCGCCGCAUUAGCUAGUUGGUAAGGUAACGGCUUACCAAGGCAACGAUGCGUAGCCGACCUGAGAGGGUGAUCGGCCACACUGGAACUGAGACACGGUCCAGACUCCUACGGGAGGCAGCAGUAGGGAAUCUUCCGCAAUGGGCGAAAGCUUGACGGAGCAACGCCGCGUGAGUGAUGAAGGUCUUCGGAUCGUAAAACUCUGUUAUUAGGGAAGAACAAAUGUGUAAGUAACUAUGCACGUCUUGACGGUACCUAAUCAGAAAGCCACGGCUAACUACGUG
Molecule: ribosomal RNA, 497 nt
Filed under: uncultured bacterium
Lineage: Bacteria
Description: partial 16S ribosomal RNA
Rfam family: Bacterial small subunit ribosomal RNA
Source: RNAcentral